CAGCUUCGGUGUCUCAGCGAAUCCCUCUCUUUCCGUCUCUCGCACGCGCACACCCGGUCUCUCGCAGCACAUCGCACCGAUAUCGCAUCUUCGUGUCCGCACCGGCCAUCGCCGCGAGUAUCACACGUCCGUCGACUGGCGUGCAUCCGCGUGGGAACUCCACUGUGUGAAAUUCCGCUAGCCGGCUCACCUCGCCGUCGCCGUGCUUGUGCUCGUGCUCGUUCUCGUUCUCGUUGCCGUCGUCGUCGUCCGUGCUUGGAGCGAGUGAGUGCGCGCGCGCGCAUACGUCGGUGUUCUCUCUCUCUCGGGCAGUCUCGCCGUCGCGGAAUAGCCGGAUUCGCGGCACGUUUUAACGUGAUACGCGCGGGGUCCUCUACUGGCCAGCAUGUCGGCGCAAGUGCAGGGCACCCUCCUCGACGUCCUCAAGAAGAAGAUGAGGCAGACGAAGGAGGAGAUGGAGAAGUACAAGGACGAGUGCGAAGAGUAUCAGAGGCGGCUGCAGGUGGAAGUGAUGCGUCGCGAGGAAGCGGAGUCCGAGGUCGCCGCCUUGAAUCGCCGCAUCCAGCUGUUGGAGGAGGACCUCGAGAGAUCGGAGGAGCGUCUCGCCACUGCCACUGCCAAACUGGCGGAGGCCUCGCAGGCUGCCGAUGAGAGCGAACGCGCCCGCAAGAUUCUCGAGAAUCGCAGCUUGGCGGACGAAGAGCGCAUGGACGCCCUCGAGAAUCAGCUGAAGGAGGCCAGGUUCCUCGCCGAAGAAGCCGACAAGAAAUACGAUGAGGUCGCCCGUAAAUUGGCCAUGGUUGAGGCCGAUCUCGAACGCGCCGAGGAGCGUGCGGAGGCCGGAGAGUCCAAGAUCGUCGAACUUGAGGAGGAGUUGCGUGUCGUCGGCAAUAACUUGAAGUCCCUCGAGGUCUCCGAGGAGAAGGCCAACCAACGCGAGGAGGAAUACAAGAACCAAAUUAAGACUCUCACUACCCGUCUAAAGGAGGCUGAGGCGCGUGCUGAGUUCGCGGAGAGAUCCGUGCAGAAGCUCCAGAAGGAGGUUGACAGGCUCGAAGAUGAGAUGGUGAUCGAGAAGGAGAAGUUCAAGGAGGUCGGGGACGGCCUGGAUUUGGCAUUCUUCGAGCUCUACGGCGUCUAACCUAAAGCGGCUGCUGCUACUAACCGUCCUCCUACGCCUCUAACGCUUCGACGAACCGAAAACAUGCGAAAAGCAAAAAAAAAAAAAAGAGAAAAAAAGACAAAAGAACGGAAUCGAACACACCUAUCUCUCUCAUACAAAUCUAGCUUGCACUCCUAACACAUACGCCGUAAGUUGCCCAUUUAUGCUUCUUUCAAAAGCCCGCUCGCUGCUAAUAAUAAAUAACAACCACUUUGCUUUUCCUCACGUCCGCCGCGGGAGGAAUUUCUCGUCUCGUCGCGUUCCGAGCGAGCCCGCGAAAUUCCACUCUCGCGCGUCGCUCGGAACCUCCGCGAGGCUGCGUCUUGAUAAUCGAUUCAGGUGCUAAAUUCGUAGAGACGCGUCGAGACGAGCUCGUCCACGAGAAGGAGAAGUACAAAUACAUCUGCGACGACCUGGACCUCACCUUCACCGAGUUGGUUGGUUAAAUCGGCUGUCAGAUCGGCCGUCGAGGCGCCGUCCGUCCGCUGUCGAAUCACUUGGCGGUACAUCGCAUCGUGAUUUCGCGCGAUUCGAUCGCGGCCGCAGCCGCGACAACGGCCCGCCGAUAAUACAUCGCCGAUCGAACAUUUUUGUUAACGUAACUAAAGUCUGCGUACGCACAUUGAUAUUAUUAUUAUUAUUAUUAUUAUUAGCAUCAUCAUCAAAAUACGUUCCGCGUUCAGAGGCUCUUUCUUUCCUUUUUUAUUUCAACCGACGAUUCCGCGACGCACCUCUUCGGCUUGCUUCAACGUUCGUUCGUUCGUCCGUCUCGAGAACAUCGCGCUUCUCUCACGCAAAAGUAAAACUCUCCAAAUUACCAGCGACAAUUUCUAGUCAUAGCCAGCAAGUGUCGCGUUGUCGCGUCGAUCGGCACGGCAUCGGGCGAAGCCACGAGAGGCGGGGGGAGACCCUCGCGCCGCCUGAAAAUCGUCGACACUGCGACUCUUGUUUUCGAAUAUUCCACAGAGGAGAACAAAUAAAAAACAUGAACAUAGAAUCUUGAAA
RNAcentral lists this unclassified non-coding RNA (2167 nucleotides) under Harpegnathos saltator (Jerdon's jumping ant). RNAcentral's name for it is "tropomyosin, transcript variant X5". The record is from RNAcentral. Lineage: Eukaryota; Metazoa; Arthropoda; Insecta; Hymenoptera; Formicidae.